RNAcentral lists this transfer RNA (73 nucleotides) under Galdieria sulphuraria. RNAcentral describes it as "tRNA Gasu_nc0009". It matches the Rfam family "tRNA". From Rfam's summary of the family: Transfer RNA (tRNA) molecules are approximately 80 nucleotides in length. Their secondary structure includes four short double-helical elements and three loops (D, anti-codon, and T loops). Further hydrogen bonds mediate the characteristic L-shaped molecular structure. tRNAs have two regions of fundamental functional importance: the anti-codon, which is responsible for specific mRNA codon recognition, and the 3' end, to which the tRNAs corresponding amino acid is attached (by aminoacyl-tRNA synthetases). tRNAs cope with the degeneracy of the genetic code in two manners: having more than one tRNA (with a specific anti-codon) for a particular amino acid; and 'wobble' base-pairing, i.e. permitting non-standard base-pairing at the 3rd anti-codon position. Lineage: Eukaryota; Rhodophyta; Bangiophyceae; Galdieriales; Galdieriaceae. The record is from Rfam by way of RNAcentral.
GCCGUCCUAGCUCAGUUGGGAGAGCGUGAGACUGAAGAUCUUAAGGUCCCGUGUUCAAUCCACGGGGACGGCA